CCUACGGGAGGCAGCAGUGGGGAAUAUUGGACAAUGGGCGAAAGCCUGAUCCAGCCAUGCCGCGUGUGUGAAGAAGGCCUUCGGGUUGUAAAGCACUUUCAGUGGGGAAGAAAGCCUUGGGGCUAAUACCCUCGAGGAAGGACAUCACCCACAGAAGAAGCACCGGCUAACUCCGUGCCAGCAGCCGCGGUAAUACGGAGGGUGCGAGCGUUAAUCGGAAUUACUGGGCGUAAAGCGCGCGUAGGCGGUCUGAUAAGCCGGUUGUGAAAGCCCCGGGCUCAACCUGGGAACGGCAUCCGGAACUGUCAGGCUAGAGUGCAGGAGAGGAAGGUAGAAUUCCCGGUGUAGCAGUGAAAUGCGUAGAGAUCGGGAGGAAUACCUGUGGCGAAGGCGGCCUUCUGGACUGACACUGACGCUGAGGUGCGAAAGCGUGGGUAGCAAACAGGAUUAGAUACCCUAGUAGUC
RNAcentral lists this ribosomal RNA (465 nucleotides) under Vreelandella stevensii. RNAcentral's name for it is "partial 16S ribosomal RNA". It matches the Rfam family "Bacterial small subunit ribosomal RNA", at positions 338 to 795 of the family's 1533-position model. Lineage: Bacteria; Pseudomonadati; Pseudomonadota; Gammaproteobacteria; Oceanospirillales; Halomonadaceae. The record is from RNAcentral.